GCACUGGUGGCAGCCCGGAUGUGGCUCUC
RNAcentral lists this small RNA (29 nucleotides) under Bombyx mori (domestic silkworm). Its description in RNAcentral is "ovarian small RNA-16444". Lineage: Eukaryota; Metazoa; Arthropoda; Insecta; Lepidoptera; Bombycidae. The record is from RNAcentral.